RNAcentral lists this long non-coding RNA (1150 nucleotides) under Equus caballus (horse). RNAcentral describes it as "lncRNA (ENSECAG00000046033.1)". Lineage: Eukaryota; Metazoa; Chordata; Mammalia; Perissodactyla; Equidae. The record is from RNAcentral.
UCUGCCUGUGUGGCCUUCGUUAGCACAUAUCACCAUCGGAUUAUAGCUUAUAUCUCGCUUCUUUCUUUGAUUGAUGAUCUCUUUCUCCUAACUAGAGCGUAAGCCCAGUGACAACAAGGCUUUUGCGUCUGUGUCCAUUGGUAUCUCCCCAGCAUUGUCCACUUUACCUGGCACGCUGUUGUUGGGAAGACUAAAGGAGCUAAUUCCUGAUGCAAAGUCUACUGCAUUGCACCUGGUUCAGGAUACAUACCUAAUGAAGGUGGGAUGCCCUUAUUAGUGGGCAAGUCUCACCUCAAUAUAAAGUGAGCGUUAGUAGCAGAGCCUUCCUCAUUGUGGCUCUCAAGGAGAAAUUGUGUGAACAUAGUGGUAAGAUUUGGGUCUAUUCUCACAAGAAAGGAGGAACUGGGAGCAGGGCCGAUCCCGUAGGUGGGAGCCUCAGAGCCAGGCAGAAAGAGCUGGAAUGGCAGAGGUGGAGAAGUCACUGAGGGGCUGGCUCACCCCUACCCAGCGGCCCUUCGAACAACACCAGCAGCGAUGCCUGCAGACGUGUGCAUCUCCGUUACAGCCAACUAUGGAUGUCUCUGCCUCCUGCCCCCCAAGGAAAAUCAUUUCCAUAUCACCCAAGCAACCAAGGCCCAGAGCCAAGUCAGCUUCCUAGAGGGAUUCCUGCUGUAGCCAAGCAGCCAGGAUUGACAUGCAUGUCCAAUGAGUUGGGCCAUAUUUGCCAAAGGGCGGCCAAGUGCAGGCUCUAAGAGCUGAGGACUGCAGAGGCGGCCCAUAAGUGGCCACCAGCCCCAUUACCAACACCAGCAUUAUCAACAGAGCCUUCAAGGGUCUGCUCGGGCUCUGCAUGGACUGGCCCCCACUCACCUCACCAGCCUCAUGCUGCACGGCGCUCCCCUGUUCUCAGGGCUUCGGUCAUCACCAGUGUCUCCAGUUCCUUGAGGUCCUUCUGCCUGGACACUCUUUCCCAUCUGUGUGAUCUGGUGACCUCAGGCUCUUCUUUAGAUCAUAUGUCCAGUGUUCCCCCUGGCGGAGGCUGUUUCUUACCUCCUGAAGUUGUCUCCUGGCUGCACCACCUUCCCUCCAGACCCAAAUGAGGGUAAUAGCUUCACGUUAAUUGCUGUCUCACUAGUCCUGCAAGAGAAGG